CCCGCUGAACUUAAGCAUAUCAAUAAGCGGAGGAAAAGAAACUAACAAGGAUUCCCCUAGUAACUGCGAGUGAAGCGGGAAGAGCUCAAAUUUGAAAUCUGGCGUGCCUCUGGUCGUCCAAAUUGUAGUCUGAAGAAGCGUUGUGUGUGUUGGGCUGUGUAUAAGUCUCGUGGAACAGGGCGUCAUAUAGGGUGAGAAUCCAGUCUCUUAUACGGUCUGCCAAUGCUUUGUGAUGCGCUCUCAUAGAGUCGCGUUGUUUGGGAAUGCAGCGCUAAAUGGGUGGUAAAUUCCAUCUAAGGCUAAAUAUUGGCGAGAGACCGAUAGCGUACAGGUCCCGUGAGGGAAAGAUGAAAAGAACAUUGAAAAGAGAGUUAAACAGUACGUGAAAUUGUUGAAAGGGAAGCGCUUGAAGUCAGUUGUGUCUCCUAGGGAUCAAGUUGCCUUUUGGUGACCGCACUUCCUAGUCGGAUGGGUCAGCAUCUAUUUUGAUCGUUGGAUAGAGGCCCAGGGAAUGUGGCAUCCUCAUGAUGUGUUAUACACCUGGCUCGUAUACAAUGGUUGGGAUUGAGGAACUCAGUGUGCCUUCAUGGUUGCGGCUUCGGCUCACACUUGCACGCUUAGGAUGCUGGCAUAAUGGCUUUAAUCGACCCGUCUUGAAACACGG
This 664-nucleotide ribosomal RNA is filed under the name uncultured fungus. RNAcentral describes it as "eukaryotic LSU rRNA". It matches the Rfam family "Eukaryotic large subunit ribosomal RNA", at positions 24 to 664 of the family's 3401-position model. Lineage: Eukaryota; Fungi. The record is from RNAcentral.